This 465-nucleotide ribosomal RNA is filed under the name uncultured bacterium. RNAcentral describes it as "partial 16S ribosomal RNA". It matches the Rfam family "Bacterial small subunit ribosomal RNA", at positions 338 to 795 of the family's 1533-position model. The record is from RNAcentral.
CCUACGGGUGACAGCAGUGGGGAAUAUUGCGCAAUGGGCGAAAGCCUGACGCAGCGACGCCGCGUGAGGGAUGAAUGUCUUCUGAUCGUAAACCUCUGUCAGCAGGGAAGAACGGUCACUGUGCUAAUCAGCAGUGCAUUUACUGUACCUGCAAAGGAAGCACCGGCUAACUCCGUGCCAGCAGCCGCUGUAAUACGGAGGGUGCGAGCGUUAAUCGGAAUUACUGGGCGUAAAGCGCUCGUAGGCGGUAUGUCAAGUCAAGGGUGAAAUCCCCGCGCUCAACGUGGGAACUGCCUUUGAAACUGGCAAACUGGAGUGUGUGAGAGGAUAGUGGAAUUCCAGGUGUAGGAGUGAAAUCCGUAGAUAUCUGGAGGAACAUCAGUGGCGAAGGCGACUAUCUGGCACAUAACUGACGCUGAGGAGCGAAAGCGUGGGUAGCAAACAGGAUUAGAUACCCUUGUAGUC